RNAcentral lists this ribosomal RNA (500 nucleotides) under Selenomonas sputigena. Its description in RNAcentral is "bacterial SSU rRNA". It matches the Rfam family "Bacterial small subunit ribosomal RNA", at positions 28 to 504 of the family's 1533-position model. Lineage: Bacteria; Bacillati; Bacillota; Negativicutes; Selenomonadales; Selenomonadaceae. The record is from RNAcentral.
GACGAACGCUGGCGGCGUGCUUAACACAUGCAAGUCGAACGGGAACCUUUAUUUCGGUAAAGGUGAGAGUGGCAAACGGGUGAGUAACACGUAGGCAACCUGCCGACAGGAUGGGGACAACAUUCCGAAAGGAAUGCUAAUACCGAAUGGAGUCCGGGGAUGGCAUCAUCCCUGGAUAAAAGAUGGCCUCUGAAUAUGCUAUCGCCUGUCGAUGGGCCUGCGUCUGAUUAGCCAGUUGGCGGGGUAACGGCCCACCAAAGCGACGAUCAGUAGCCGGUCUGAGAGGAUGAACGGCCACAUUGGGACUGAGACACGGCCCAGACUCCUACGGGAGGCAGCAGUGGGGAAUCUUCCACAAUGGGCGAAAGCCUGAUGGAGCAACGCCGCGUGAGUGAAGAAGGUCUUCGGAUCGUAAAGCUCUGUUGCACGGGACGAAAACCGAGCUUGAAAAUAUUGAGCUUGGGUGACGGUACCGAGCGAGGAAAGCCACGGCUAACUAC